GUGGGGAAUAUUGGACAAUGGGGGGAACCCUGAUCCAGCCAUGCCGCGUGUGUGAAGAAGGCCUUUUGGUUGUAAAGCACUUUAAGCGAGGAGGAGGCUACCGAGAUUAAUACUCUUGGAUAGUGGACGUUACUCGCAGAAUAAGCACCGGCUAACUCUGUGCCAGCAGCCGCGGGAAUACAGAGGGUGCAAGCGUUAAUCGGAUUUACUGGGCGUAAAGCGCGCGUAGGUGGCCAAUUAAGUCAAAUGUGAAAUCCACGAGCUUAACUUGGGAAUUGCAUUCGAUACUGGUUGGCUAGAGUAUGGGAGAGGAUGGUAGAAUUCCAGGUGUAGCGGUGAAAUGCGUAGAGAUCUGGAGGAAUACCGAUGGCGAAGGCAGCCAUCUGGCCUAAUACUGACACUGAGGUGCGAAAGCAUGGGGAGCAAACAGGAUUAGAUACCCGUGUAGUCC
Molecule: ribosomal RNA, 451 nt
Filed under: uncultured bacterium
Lineage: Bacteria
Description: partial 16S ribosomal RNA
Rfam family: Bacterial small subunit ribosomal RNA
Source: RNAcentral